CGGACCGGCGCACGGGUGAGUAACGCGUAUCCAACCUGCCCACCACUUGGGAUAACCUUGCGAAAGUAAGACUAAUACCCAAUGAUAUCUCUAGAAGACAUCUGAAAGAGAUUAAAGAUUUAUCGGUGAUGGAUGGGGAUGCGUCUGAUUAGCUUGUUGGCGGGUAACGGCCCACCAAGGCAACGAUCAGUAGGGGUUCUGAGAGGAAGGUCCCCCACAUUGGAACUGAGACACGGUCCAA
Molecule: ribosomal RNA, 241 nt
Filed under: uncultured bacterium
Lineage: Bacteria
Description: partial 16S ribosomal RNA
Rfam family: Bacterial small subunit ribosomal RNA
Source: RNAcentral